UCCUGGUAGGGUGGCCUGCGGAGGGAUCAUUACCGAGUUUACAACUCCCAAACCCCUGUGAACAUACCUUAAACGUUGCCUCGGCGGAUCAGCCCGCGCCCCGUAAAACGGGACGGCCCGCCAGAGGAACCCCAAACUCUAUUGUCUUUAUUGUAUCUUCUGAGUAAAAAACAAACAAAUAAAUCAAAACUUUCAACAACGGAUCUCUUGGUUCUGGCAUCGAUGAAGAACGCAGCAAAAUGCGAUAAGUAAUGUGAAUUGCAGAAUUCAGUGAAUCAUCGAAUCUUUGAACGCACAUUGCGCCCGCCAGUAUUCUGGCGGGCAUGCCUGUUCGAGCGUCAUUUCAACCCUCAAACCCCCGGGUUUGGUGUUGGGGAUCGGCCGUGUUCUUGUAACCGGCCGGCCCCGAAAUCUAGUGGCGGUCUCGCUGCAGCCUCCAUUGCGUAGUAGCUAACACCUCGCAACUGGAACGCGGCGCGGCCAAGCCGUUAAACCCCCAACUUCUGAAUGUUGACCUCGGAUCAGGUAGGAAUACCCGCUGAACUUAAGCAUAUCAAAGACCCGGAGGGAAA
RNAcentral lists this ribosomal RNA (572 nucleotides) under Fusarium lateritium. RNAcentral's name for it is "eukaryotic LSU rRNA". The stretch from base 188 to 341 matches the Rfam family "5.8S ribosomal RNA". The record is from RNAcentral. Lineage: Eukaryota; Fungi; Ascomycota; Sordariomycetes; Hypocreales; Nectriaceae.